AUAUCAAUAAGCGGAGGAAAAGAAACCAACAGGGAUUGCCUCAGUAACGGCGAGUGAAGCGGCAACAGCUCAAAUUUGAAAUCUACCUUCGGGUCGAGUUGUAAUCUGUAGAGGAUGCUUUGGGCGCGGUAGUCACCGAGUCCCCUGGAAUGGGGCUCCAUAGAGGGUGAGAGUCCCGUUCGUGGCGAACUAAGCCCGUGUAAAGCGCCUUCGACGAGUCGAGUAGUUUGGGAAUGCUGCUCAAAAUGGGAGGUAAAUUCCUUCUAAAGCUAAAUACUGGCCAGAGACCGAUAGCGCACAAGUA
RNAcentral lists this ribosomal RNA (304 nucleotides) under uncultured Thielavia. RNAcentral's name for it is "partial large subunit ribosomal RNA". It matches the Rfam family "Eukaryotic large subunit ribosomal RNA", at positions 40 to 350 of the family's 3401-position model. Lineage: Eukaryota; Fungi; Ascomycota; Sordariomycetes; Sordariales; Chaetomiaceae. The record is from RNAcentral.